UUGACCUUUAACCUUAUUGGUGAAAACCGUUGAAGCUGGUUGAUCAAUUGUCCGGAUUAAUUUAUAUGUUUUAUUGAUACACACGAACAACUUAAACUUUAGUUAAAAAUUACAUGUGCAGCCUUUUGUUUGCAGUAUGCAAUGGUUACCUCCCUUACUUCAGUUUUGAAAAUGUCCCAAGUAACUCGAGGAUCAUUAUUUUUGGUUGAUGUGUCUGUUGCAUAGAACAUGUAGAAGAGAUUUUGUAUUUUGAGCAAAUUUACUUUUUGGAUUUUCAUGAUACACAAAUAGGAGUAUUUUUCUCACAGCGUUAUGAAG
Mytilus trossulus (common blue mussel) is the source of this 318-nucleotide long non-coding RNA. RefSeq lists it as uncharacterized. Lineage: Eukaryota; Metazoa; Mollusca; Bivalvia; Mytilida; Mytilidae. The transcript has 3 exons. The record is from RefSeq and is a predicted model, not a curated record.